AUAACGAUCUCCUGGUUCUGCUCAUUUCACUCAGCAUCAGUUCAUGUAAGUCUUUCCAGGCCUUUCUGAAAUCAUCCUGUUAGUCAUUUCUUACAGAACAAUAUAUUUCAUAUAUCAUAACUUGUUCAGCCAUUCUCUUUUUUUUUAUUUAAUGAUUACUUUAUAAUGACAACAUUAUUCCUUGCACUCGUUUCUUUUCCGAUUUUUUUCCCCCUCCCUCCCUCCACCCCCUCCCCUAGAUGGCAAGCAGUCCUUUAUAUGUUGGAUAUGUUGCAGUAUAUCCUAGAUACAAUAUAUGUUUGCAGAACCGAACAGUUCUCUUGUUGCAUAGGGAGAAUUGGAUUCAGAAGGUAUAAAUAACCCGGGAAGAAAAACUAAAAUGCAGAUAGUUCACAUUUGUUUCCCAGUGUUCGUUCUUUGGGUGUAGCUGCUUAUGUCUGUCAUUUAUCAAUUGAAACUUAGUUAGGUCUCUUUGUCAAAGAAAUCCACUUCCAUCAAAAUAUGUCCUCAUACAAUAUCGUUGUCGAAGUGUAUAAUGAUCUCCUGGUUCUGCUCAUUUCACUUAGCAUCAGUUCAUGUAAGUCUCGCCAGUCCUCUCUGUAUUCAUCCUGCUGGUCAUUUCUUUUUUUUUUUUUUUUUU
Molecule: long non-coding RNA, 640 nt
Organism: Antechinus flavipes (yellow-footed antechinus)
Lineage: Eukaryota; Metazoa; Chordata; Mammalia; Dasyuromorphia; Dasyuridae
Exons: 2
Source: RefSeq, a predicted model, not a curated record